ACACGUGGUAUAAUCUUCCUUAAAGUGGGGAAUAACCUAUCGAAAGAUGGGCUAAUACCGCAUAAGACCACAACAUCUUUGGAUGAAGGGGUUAAAGGCUUCGGUCGCUUUAAGAUGAGUCUGCGUCCGNNNNNNUAGUUGGUAGGGUAAUGGCCUACCAAGGCGACGAUCGGUAACUGGUCUGAGAGGAUGACCAGUCACACUGGGACUGAGACACGGCCCAGACUCCUACGGGAGGCAGCAGUAGGGAAUAUUGCACAAUGGAGGAAACUCUGAUGCAGCGACGCCGCGUGAGUGAUGAAGGCCUUCGGGUUGUAAAGCUCUGUUCUCAGGGAAUAAUAAAUUGAAUGUACCUGAGGAGAAAGGACCGGCUAACUUCGUGCCAGCAGCCGCGGUAAGACGGGGGGUCCAAGCGUUGUUCGGAAUUAUUGGGCGUAAAGCGGGUGUAGGUGGCUUUGUAAGUCAGAAGUGAAAGCCCUGGGCUUAACCCAGGAAGUGCUUUUGAUACUGCGAAGCUUGAGUGUGGGAGAGGAUAGUAGAAUUCCUAGUGUAGUGGUGAAAUACGUAGAUAUUAGGAGGAAUACCGGUGGCGAAGGCGGCUAUCUGGCCCAACACUGACACUCAGACCCGAAAGCGUGGGGAUCAAACAGGAUUAGAUACCCUGGUAGUCCACGCCUUAAACGAUGGAUACUUGGUGUUGGAGGUAUUGACCCCUUCAGUGCCGAAGCUAACGCGUUAAGUAUCCCGCCUGGGGAGUACGGUCGCAAGAUUAAAACUCAAAGAAAUUGACGGGGGCC
RNAcentral lists this ribosomal RNA (797 nucleotides) under uncultured bacterium. RNAcentral describes it as "bacterial SSU rRNA". It matches the Rfam family "Bacterial small subunit ribosomal RNA", at positions 113 to 921 of the family's 1533-position model. The record is from RNAcentral.